GACGAACGCUGGCGGCGUGCUUAACACAUGCAAGUCGAACGGAAAGGCCCUGCUUUUGUGGGGUGCUCGAGUGGCGAACGGGUGAGUAACACGUGAGUAACCUGCCCUUGACUUUGGGAUAACUUCAGGAAACUGGGGCUAAUACCGGAUAGGAGCUCCUGCUGCAUGGUGGGGGUUGGAAAGUUUCGGCGGUUGGGGAUGGACUCGCGGCUUAUCAGCUUGUUGGUGGGGUAGUGGCUUACCAAGGCUUUGACGGGUAGCCGGCCUGAGAGGGUGACCGGCCACAUUGGGACUGGGAUGCGGCCCAGACUCCUACGGGAGGCAGCAGUGGGGAAUAUUGCACAAUGGGCGGAAGCCUGAUGCAGCAAAGCCGCGUGCGGGAUGACGGCCUUCGGGUUGUAAACCGCUUUCGCCUGUGACGAAGCGUGAGUGACGGUAAUGGGUAAAGAAGCACCGGCUAACUACGUG
RNAcentral lists this ribosomal RNA (468 nucleotides) under uncultured bacterium. Its description in RNAcentral is "partial 16S ribosomal RNA". It matches the Rfam family "Bacterial small subunit ribosomal RNA", at positions 28 to 507 of the family's 1533-position model. The record is from RNAcentral.